GAUGAACGCUGGCGGCGUGCUUAACACAUGCAAGUCGAACGGAAAGGCCCAAGCUUGCUUGGGUACUCGAGUGGCGAACGGGUGAGUAACACGUGGGUGAUCUGCCCUGCACUUCGGGAUAAGCCUGGGAAACUGGGUCUAAUACCGGAUAGGACGAUGGUUUGGAUGCCAUUGUGGAAAGUUUUUUCGGUGUGGGAUGAGCUCGCGGCCUAUCAGCUUGUUGGUGGGGUAAUGGCCUACCAAGGCGUCGACGGGUAGCCGGCCUGAGAGGGUGUACGGCCACAUUGGGACGGAGAUACGGCCCAGACUCCUACAGGAGGCAGCAGUGGGGAAUAUUGCACAAUGGGCGCAAGCCUGAUGCAGCGACGCCGCGUGGGGGAUGACGGCCUUCGGGUUGUAAACUCCUUUCGCUAGGGACGAAGCGUUUUUGUGACGGUACCUGGAGAAGAAGCACCGGCUAACUACGUG
RNAcentral lists this ribosomal RNA (468 nucleotides) under uncultured bacterium. RNAcentral describes it as "partial 16S ribosomal RNA". It matches the Rfam family "Bacterial small subunit ribosomal RNA", at positions 28 to 507 of the family's 1533-position model. The record is from RNAcentral.